UCGCAGACCAGAGGAGACUGGGGAGACAAGACAAAGGUCCGCUAGUCUGUCCCAGGGCUGCACCCAUAAAACAUCUCUUCCCUGCAACAGCUUACCUGCGGCCAAGGUGAAACGAGCGGGUCUACUCUGCCACCAGGAUGUGGAUGCCUGAGAAUAUAAGUGUUGUGGGCCAUCUCUCCAGGAAGAAAGCACAUAUAUGUUCAUAUACUCAGUAUUGUGCAAAGAGCUUCUGGGAUUUAUGGCACCUACCUAAAUCUUGGGAUCCACAGACCCUGGGUGAGAAAACUCAUGUCCAUCCUCUUGCUCAGAAAAAUAAAGUUGUACAUAAUCACCUGUGUUUCCCAAAAAGAUAUCCUGUGAAUUACUGGUUUCACAAAAUAUUUACAGAUUUUGCAUGAAAAACAUCUUGUAUGAAAAAUGUUGGAAAGUGCAGAAUUAAACGAAGUGAAGCAGGCUUCUUUUUUUGGAGGAUCUUGCAAAUGUUUAAUAUGCCAUCGUGUUUUGGGACUCUCCCAAAAGGAGAUCGUGUCUAGUAUUUCCCAGAUUUAUACUGUAUCUUAUUCCUUGCAGGA
Long non-coding RNA from Mustela erminea (ermine), 572 nucleotides. RefSeq lists it as uncharacterized. The record is from RefSeq and is a predicted model, not a curated record. NCBI's taxonomy places the organism in Eukaryota, Metazoa, Chordata, Mammalia, Carnivora, Mustelidae. The transcript is spliced from 3 exons.